This 253-nucleotide ribosomal RNA is filed under the name uncultured bacterium. Its description in RNAcentral is "partial 16S ribosomal RNA". It matches the Rfam family "Bacterial small subunit ribosomal RNA", at positions 524 to 776 of the family's 1533-position model. The record is from RNAcentral.
UACGUAGGGGGCAAGCGUUAUCCGGAUUUACUGGGUGUAAAGGGGGCGCAGACGGCAGCGCAAGCCAGGAGUGAAAGCCCGGGGCCCAACCCCGGGACUGCUCUUGGAACUGCGCGGCUGGAGUGCAGGAGGGGCAGGCGGAAUUCCUGGUGUAGCGGUGAAAUGCGUAGAUAUCAGGAGGAACACCGGUGGCGAGGGCGGCCUGCUGGACUGCGACUGACGUUGAGGCCCGAAAGCGUGGGGAGCAAACAGG